GGAUUGUGGCUCAGUGGUAGAGCACUUGCCUAACGCGUGUGAGGCACUGGGUUUGAUCCUCAGCACCA
This 68-nucleotide transfer RNA is filed under the name Marmota monax (woodchuck). RNAcentral's name for it is "tRNA.Val". The record is from RNAcentral. Lineage: Eukaryota; Metazoa; Chordata; Mammalia; Rodentia; Sciuridae.